GCCGCUGUGAAACAGACAGGAACGACGUGCAGCUCGAAUCAGAGCAAAUCUGUGGGGAACCGCAGCGUCCGAGCUGUCUGCGCUCCCUGAACGCAGCCUUGACGUGCGCACACGCAACAGGAGCGGAGAGUGGAGCUGGUAGAUGUUUUGAUGGUGGCUCACCAGCUAAUCCUUUUCACGUAUUGGGGCAAAAUUCGCCACUACGGUCAGGGUUGGGAUACGAGCAAGCUCAACGUUGGAUCGACAGUGAGGGGGAACGCCCUUGUUUAUUGUGCACUUAUGGUCAGGAUUCGAUCCAACUAAAUGGUUGAUUGCAUCUCACUCAAGUGAGCUACUCAUGGCCUUUUCCAAAGAGACACUUCUCCUUUAGUAGAGGUGAAUAUACGUCCAGCUACUAAUCAGGGGCGCAUUCUCUGAAUGUUGUCCCGUUCACUCCGGUUUGGACCAUCUGCACCCAGUUUUCAAUAUUUACCCACUUCUACGAGGUCAGGAUGCCACGGUCCAAAGAAAUUUCCGAAGAGCUCCGCAAAAAAGUUGUUGAGGCUCAUCAGUCUGGAAAAGGGUACAAGCUCAUUUCCAAGGCUCUGGGGCUCCCCAAGACAACAGUCCGAUCCAUACUGUGUAAAUGGAAGCGCUUUGGGACAGUCGGGAAUCGACCCAGGAGUGGCCGUCCCCCCAAAAUCUCUCCAGGAACAAGGCGGGAUAUCAUCCGCGAGGUGAUGAAAAACCCUUGCACCACCUCCAAGGAUCUGCAGGCCACUCUGGCCUCAGCCAACAUCCGCGUUCACGACUCCACCAUCAGGAGGAUACUGGGAAUUCAUGGAAGACCAACUCUAAGCGGCCUUGAGGAUAGCAUGGAGUUAAAAGCCUCCUCUGAGGAAGAGGGGGGCAUACAAGAGACUUCAGAAAAGUUGUCCGAUAUUUCGGAUGAGUUUAAUCGCGACGUAAAGGUCGAAGAAGACCAGAAUGACUCGGAAUACGAUCCCGUCGGGGUUCCCAAUGAUGAAGAGGAGCAUUUGGAUGAAGGUGAAGCUGCUGGCCCUAAUGGUGAAGACUGUUAUGAUGAUGAUGACGAUGAUGGUGAUGGUGCUGGUGAUGACAGCAAUGAGAAGCGUACUGAAAGCGAAGAUGACACUGACAGUGACUGGUGGUGAGAUAGUCACCAUGGUGGAGGGGUCAGUAGUGGCCAUGGUGGUGAUGCCAACAGUGGUGGAAGUUGUGGUGGUUUGGAGACUGAAGAGGACGUGACUGUGCAAGAACUUUCUUACUGAUAGCACAAAGCUAGCACCUAACCUAAAGCGAGUCUGACUCACAGCGGUGAGAAGGACCACCAAAAAUUCUGAACGUUGGGCGGGAUGGGGGCUAAGGUACCAAACUACAUAUGUGAUCCAUUGUUGUGUUGCUGUGACUGAUGCUUGGUCUCCUCACGAGGGCGAAGACCAUUGGCCACGAACUCUCCCUUUGGCUCCGAGCCAAGUCUACUUUCCCCACACCUGAUUGGUCGCUGAGCGUCUGCUGUAAUCAAAAGACUCGUUCCUGAUUGGCUCUGGAACGCCAAGCGGCUGUGGGCUGAUGCGUUCUCUCAUGAAUAUUCAUGAGUUCGUUGGCACCGGCUGGGACUCGACUGAGGAGGGACUGAAUAGGAAACCCCUCUGUUAUCUAAUCUUCCCAUCCUUUACUACCGUCUCUGCGGAUUUUGGUGCACGGAUUAACAUUUGAAGGUCAGUGUUAUCGGGUUACUGUUUCUCCCAGGAGAAAAGGGAGGACUGACUGCUGAAGGGAACGCCCUUUGCUUUAAAGUCACCUGCGCAAGGACCUCCAUCCGUUUGCAGGGUAUAAAAAGGCGGUGAAGGUGAAGGUCUGGACGUUAGUUCGGCUUAGCCAGCGUUAAGGAGCGAAGCCCCCGCAUCUGUUGGGGUAUUUUCAUCUCUCUGUCCGAGUUCUGGAGAGUAUCCUGGGUCAUAGCGACGUUUCAGGCGUGUAAGACGGAUAACGCGGUUCACGUUGACGUUUAUCUGCUUAGCUAAUUCCUCCCGCGCCUGCGUCUAAUCGUUAGUCAUAACUUCUCCACACUUCCCCAGCUUUACUGCGUCUU
Molecule: RNA transcript, 2095 nt
Organism: Pygocentrus nattereri (red-bellied piranha)
Lineage: Eukaryota; Metazoa; Chordata; Actinopteri; Characiformes; Serrasalmidae
Gene: mid1ip1b
Gene name: MID1 interacting protein 1b
Exons: 4
Source: RefSeq, a predicted model, not a curated record